CGGGACGGGUGAGUAAUGCUUGGGAAUCUGGCUUAUGGAGGGGGAUAACUACGGGAAACUGUAGCUAAUACCGCAUAAUAUCGAAAGAUUAAAGGGUGGGACUUUCGGGCCACCUGCCAUGAGAUGAGCCCAAGUGGGAUUAGGUAGUUGGUUAGGUAAAGGCUGACCAAGCCGACGAUCUCUAGCUGGUCUGAGAGGAUGACCAGCCACACUGGAACUGAGACACGGUCCAG
RNAcentral lists this ribosomal RNA (233 nucleotides) under uncultured bacterium. Its description in RNAcentral is "partial 16S ribosomal RNA". It matches the Rfam family "Bacterial small subunit ribosomal RNA", at positions 100 to 334 of the family's 1533-position model. The record is from RNAcentral.